Molecule: ribosomal RNA, 498 nt
Filed under: uncultured soil bacterium
Lineage: Bacteria
Description: bacterial SSU rRNA
Rfam family: Bacterial small subunit ribosomal RNA
Source: RNAcentral
GCCGGCGGCGUGCUUAACACAUGCAAGUCGAGUGCGCGCCUGUAGCAAUACAGGUGGCGCACGGCGCACGGGUGCGUAACACGUGGGUAAUCUGCCCUUUGAUGGGGAAUAACUCGCCGAAAGGCGAGCUAAUUCCGCAUAAUAUUCCGGAAACUUAUGUUUCUGGACUGAAAGGCGUAAGUCGUCGGAGGAGGAGCCCGCGCACGAUUAGCUAGUUGGUAGGGUAAUGGCCUACCAAGGCUUUGAUCGUUAGCUGGUCUGAGAGGAUGGCCAGCCACACUGGAACUGAGACACGGUCCAGACUCCUACGGGAGGCAGCAGUGGGGAAUCUUGCACAAUGGGCGAAAGCCUGAUGCAGCGACGCCGCGUGGGGGAUGAAGCUUCUCGGAGUGUAAACCCCUUUCGAUCCGGACGAAUGCCCGCAAGGGAGUGACGGUACGGAUAUAAGAAGCCCCGGCUAACUACGUGCCAGCAGCCGCGGUAAUACGUAGGGGGCCA